Molecule: small nucleolar RNA, 75 nt
Filed under: Crocodylus porosus (Australian saltwater crocodile)
Lineage: Eukaryota; Metazoa; Chordata; Crocodylia; Crocodylidae
Description: Small nucleolar RNA R38 (ENSCPRG00005007194.1)
Source: RNAcentral
CUGAGCCAAUGAUGUGCUGUUAUCCCUGUCUGAAAACUCAGCUGUGAGGGAGAAAUGAAUAUCUCUGAGGCUCAU